GUUAGGGUUAGGGUUUAGGGUUAGGGAUAUGUUGGAUUAUGGUUAGGUUAGGUUAGGUUAGGGUUAGGUUAGGUUAGGGUUAAGGUCUCUCAAUUGUGAGAAAGAAUGUUCUGUAUAUUCUGUGGCCAAAAAAAUUCAAUUGAAUCACAAGAUUAUAAAUUGUAAUCACAGGACAAAAAAAUUCUGAGUUAUGAAAAUAAGCAUCCAAAUCGUGAAGUAAAACCUGCAGUUACCUUUUUAUUCCGUGGUGAAACAAGCUUCCGUGUAAAAGCCAUUAAAUAGUCACCAUACAUUCAAAAAUCAGUAAAAUGGAGGAUGCUACCGGGGCAUGUUGUCACAGAAUCGGUUCUUUAAACAGGCUUGAUUUCUCCUCUCUUCUAUGUGAGCUGGACGAUCCUCGAGGUCUUCCAGGCGUUUGCACAGCCUGAGCGAGGUCCUUCAGUGACCGAUCAGCAGCUACGAGCUGAAAUACACCUCGAGAGUGUUUGUUUUUUAGCUCCGGGUCCUUCCUUAUUAAUAUAUUAAGAGCUACAAAAGAGGUUGGACUCGGUGUGUGCGGGAGAAACCCAUCUCGUGCUCGGCACACAACUCAUUCAUUUGUUUGUUCGAGAUGUUUCGAAGGUGACUUCAAGCAACGUUUCCACACAUCGGUGUAAAUACCAUGAAGAUGUAAUCAGCACAACCACAAAUAUGAUCUUUGUACAGAUGAGAGAAUCUGUUGGCAGGUUAUUAUUAUUAUUAUUGUUAUUGUUAUUAUUAUUAUUAUUGUGAAAGCUCUGAUCAUUGUUGAUAUGAUGUGUAAUAAUCACCAUGAAUGUAAAGGCCUUUCCUCUCUUUUCACCUUAUGACCUUAUUUUAUAUGCAAAACCAUUUUGUUCCUGUUUUUAGAUCUGAUGUUUCAUAUGAAUUAUGCUCUUUCGUACUACCCUCUUUUUUUAAAACGGGAAGAUAUUUGACCUUUUUUUAUCCUUUAAUUUUGUUGUCUUUUUUUAACACGUGAACUAAAGAACACCAGCUUUAGGAUACAAAUAAUAUUCGAUUUGUAUACACUGUUCAGCAGUUUUUAUGAUUUAGACUCUUUUAUUUUAUUUUUUACAUUGAAUUGAUCAAAUAAAGUUUCGGCUGAAUUGUA
Molecule: long non-coding RNA, 1132 nt
Organism: Puntigrus tetrazona (Sumatra barb)
Lineage: Eukaryota; Metazoa; Chordata; Actinopteri; Cypriniformes; Cyprinidae
Exons: 2
Source: RefSeq, a predicted model, not a curated record